GACGAACGCUGGCGGCGGGCUUAACACAUGCAAGUCGAACGGAAAGGCCCUGCUUUUGUGGGGUGCUCGAGUGGCGAACGGGUGAGUAACACGUGAGUAACCUGCCCUUGACUUUGGGAUAACUUCAGGAAACUGGGGCUAAUACCGGAUAGGAGCUCCUGCUGCAUGGUGGGGGUUGGAAAGUUUCGGCGGUUGGGGAUGGACUCGCGGCUUAUCAGCUUGUUGGGGGGGUAGUGGCUUACCAAGGCUUUGACGGGUAGCCGGCCUGAGAGGGUGACCGGCCACAUUGGGACUGAGAUACGGCCCAGACUCCUACGGGAGGCAGCAGUGGGGAAUAUUGCACAAUGGGCGGAAGCCUGAUGCAGCGACGCCGCGUGCGGGAUGACGGCCAUCGGGUUGUAAACCGCUUUCGCCUGUGACGAAGCGUGAGUGACGGUAAUGGGUAAAGAAGCACCGGCUAACUACGUG
Molecule: ribosomal RNA, 468 nt
Filed under: uncultured bacterium
Lineage: Bacteria
Description: partial 16S ribosomal RNA
Rfam family: Bacterial small subunit ribosomal RNA
Source: RNAcentral